GAUGAACGCUGGCGGCGUGCUUAACACAUGCAAGUCGAACGAAGCACUUAAGAUUGAUUCUUCGGAUGACGUCUUUUGUGACUUAGUGGCGGACGGGUGAGUAACGCGUGGGUAACCUGCCUCACACAGGGGGAUAACAGUUAGAAAUGACUGCUAAUACCGCAUAACCCGAUAGGAUCGCAUGACCCAGACGGAAAAGAUUUAUCGGUGUGAGAUGGACCCGCGUCUGAUUAGCUAGUUGGUGAGGUAACGGCCCACCAAGGCGACGAUCAGUAGCCGGCCUGAGAGGGUGAACGGCCACAUUGGGACUGAGACACGGCCCAAACUCCUACGGGAGGCAGCAGUGGGGAAUAUUGCACAAUGGGGGAAACCCUGAUGCAGCGACGCCGCGUGAGUGAAGAAGUAUUUCGGUAUGUAAAGCUCUAUCAGCAGGGAAGAAAAUGACGGUACCUGACUAAGAAGCCCCGGCUAACUACGUG
RNAcentral lists this ribosomal RNA (479 nucleotides) under uncultured bacterium. RNAcentral describes it as "partial 16S ribosomal RNA". It matches the Rfam family "Bacterial small subunit ribosomal RNA", at positions 28 to 507 of the family's 1533-position model. The record is from RNAcentral.